This 216-nucleotide ribosomal RNA is filed under the name Narceus annularis. RNAcentral's name for it is "partial 18S ribosomal RNA". It matches the Rfam family "Eukaryotic small subunit ribosomal RNA", at positions 1429 to 1647 of the family's 1831-position model. Lineage: Eukaryota; Metazoa; Arthropoda; Diplopoda; Spirobolida; Spirobolidae. The record is from RNAcentral.
CUUANAGGGACNANUGGCUUUUAGCCGCACGAAAUAGAGCAAUAACAGGUCUGUGAUGCCYUUAGAUGUCCGNNNCGCACGCGGGCURCACUGAAGGAAUCAGCUGGUGACAUCNCUAUGCCGUAAGGACUGGGUAAUCCGCUGAAACUCCUUCAUGAUAGGGACUGGGGCUUUGAAAUUCUUGCCCACAAACGAGGAAUUCCCAGUAAGUGCGAG